This 253-nucleotide ribosomal RNA is filed under the name uncultured bacterium. RNAcentral's name for it is "partial 16S ribosomal RNA". It matches the Rfam family "Bacterial small subunit ribosomal RNA", at positions 524 to 776 of the family's 1533-position model. The record is from RNAcentral.
UACGUAGGGUGCGAGCGUUAAUCGGAAUUACUGGGCGUAAAGCGUGCGCAGGCGGUUGGUUAAGUCUGAUGUGAAAGCCCCGGGCUCAACCUGGGAAUGGCAUUGGAAACUGGUCAGCUGGAGUGUGGCAGAGGGGGGUGGAAUUUCGCGUGUAGCAGUGAAAUGCGUAGAGAUGCGGAGGAACACCGAUGGCGAAGGCAGCCCCCUGGGCCAACACUGACGCUCAGGCACGAAAGCGUGGGGAGCAAACAGG